This 708-nucleotide ribosomal RNA is filed under the name Triticum aestivum (bread wheat). Its description in RNAcentral is "partial small subunit ribosomal RNA". The record is from RNAcentral. Lineage: Eukaryota; Viridiplantae; Streptophyta; Magnoliopsida; Poales; Poaceae.
AUGGCAGAGGCACCGAAUAAGAGCAAGAAGAAAGCAGUGGUGGAGGAGAAGAAAGAACCGAAGAACAAGGCAAAGGGAUCGAAUGCCCAAAGCUCGAAGGGCAAGGAAGUGGAGGAGGACAACAGAGAUCUAAAGAGGACUAUCCAAGACCUGGAGGACAAGAUUAGCGCACAGAAUGUUAAAAUUAAAGACAACCAGACUCGCAUAGGGAAAGUGGCCAUGGAGAAAGAUAAUGUGGAAGAGGAUAUCACAGAGCAGAAGAAUAAGGAAACAGAGACGGGAAGAAAGAUUGAUAGGCUGGACAUGAGGAAAGGAAAGCUGGUGGAGAAGAUAGGGAAUCUGGACUUGCAGAAAGAAGAAGUGGUGAAGGAGAAAACAAAGCUGGGAAAGGGUAUCACAGAGCUGAAGAGGAAGGAACAAAAUACGGGAACACAGAUUGCAGAUCUGAAGAAGAAGGAAAAUACGCUGGUGGAGGAGAAAGGAAAGUUGGCGAAGGAGCUAGAUGAGAAAAAAACUAUGAGGAUUGAUAAUCUGGAGAGGAGGAACGAAGAGCUGGCCAAGGACAAUGAGGAACUGAAGAAGGACAACGAGAAGCUGGUGCGUAAAGAAAGAAAGACCAGAGAGGAGAAAAGGGAACUGAAAAACAGCUACGACACGCUGCAGGACAAGUACGAUGGGAGAUGCUGCAGCUCUUGCUCAAUUUGUUGA